Molecule: long non-coding RNA, 250 nt
Filed under: Nicotiana benthamiana
Lineage: Eukaryota; Viridiplantae; Streptophyta; Magnoliopsida; Solanales; Solanaceae
Description: long non-coding RNA (NBEN_LNC001265)
Source: RNAcentral
UAAUCCUUGAGGUAGGAAGGAGGGUUGUGUUGUCUACUGGAUUUUCUGGAUAUGAUAACAGGCUGAGAGACAGGCAAAUCAGGAAGAGAAAUAGUGGGAUUGAAAGAAGGAGAAGCAAUGGAUAGAGGGGAGGCAGGAGAGGAAACAGCAGGAGAAGGAAAAGUAGGAGGAGAAGAGGGAGAAUCAUUGAAAGUAGGUAAUGUAAACGUUUGUUCAAGGAUGUCAUCAGAGAAGGGAAUAGGUGGAGGAG